ACAAACGACACGGGGUGUCCUGGCAUUACGUCAGGGCUGAGAUAAGACCCGCUGAACCUGAUCCAGUUCAUACCGGCGAAGGGAUGUCACGCUAAUGGCCA
This 101-nucleotide non-coding RNA is filed under the name Halomonas sp. Its description in RNAcentral is "TPP sequence". It matches the Rfam family "TPP riboswitch aptamer (THI element)". Rfam says of the family: Vitamin B(1) in its active form thiamin pyrophosphate (TPP) is an essential coenzyme that is synthesised by coupling of pyrimidine and thiazole moieties in bacteria. The previously detected thiamin-regulatory element, thi box was extended, resulting in a new, highly conserved RNA secondary structure, the THI element, which is widely distributed in eubacteria and also occurs in some archaea. The record is from RNAcentral. Lineage: Bacteria; Pseudomonadati; Pseudomonadota; Gammaproteobacteria; Oceanospirillales; Halomonadaceae.